GGGGGCGAUACGGGUUCGACGGCAAACGGCGAGCGAAGGGAAGCAUGCCGUAGAAGGUCACUACGUAAAAAACCAAAACAAAACAAAACCCGAAAGAGAACUCGCUCUCGCUGCUUAAUUAACGCAGCGACGUCCUGCCUGACUUGCCCGUAGGUUGGGAUAGGGCGGAAGACAAUACGGGAUAGAGCCUUUCUAAUCUCCCCUAAGGAAAGGCUUGAAAUUUCGUGGGGAUAGCUUUAAGCUUCUUUGCCUGUGGAGAAGUUUAAAGCGAAACCUAAACACAGGCUAAGCAUGUAGAAGCCCUUUAGGCUUGCUUUUGUCGGACGAGGGUUCGAUUCCCUCCGCCUCCACUU
RNAcentral lists this transfer-messenger RNA (353 nucleotides) under Sulfurihydrogenibium sp. It matches the Rfam family "transfer-messenger RNA". Rfam says of the family: Bacterial tmRNA, also known as 10Sa RNA or SsrA, is named for its dual tRNA and mRNA-like properties. Its role is to liberate the mRNA from a stalled ribosome. Lineage: Bacteria; Pseudomonadati; Aquificota; Aquificia; Aquificales; Hydrogenothermaceae. The record is from RNAcentral.